UACUGUUGGAUUCCUCGUGGCCACCAAAACUCUGCUAUCAAGAACCUGGAGGGGCGAAAAACAAAAUUGAGUGGGUCAGUAAAACCAAGCUUUUCAAAAACAUUUCGCCAAAAAUAAUUCUAACCCCUCACUGUAAAACCUGUAUACUUUUCCCAGAAAAUAGUAUAAUAACAUAAUACUUUUCAUAAAUCUCGAAUCAUCAAUUUUUCUUUAAAACCCGAAAGUAUGCCAUGUUUUAAUUUCGAAAACAAAAUAAAUGAUGCAUCAAUGUAACAGGUGAAAAGUUGAAUUAACCGGAGACCCUGCAGUUGGUCCUGUACGGUUAAUUCCAUAGCUCAACAUCCAAUCCAACCGGAGUCACCUCGAUGACCUGUACGGCACUACACUGCAGAUAAGUCGGAACUACCUGAAGUAGUCUGUACGACAUGGAUGGUGUAAUAAUACGCUCUAGUGCUUCUCUCAUCAAUCAUCUGUACACAUAAUCUAAGGUCACCCACUAGUCGGAAUCACAUCUAGUAAUCUAUACGACUAGCAUGUCGGAACCCUCACUUGGUCUGUACGACAUCCACCUACUUGGAUCCAAGACGAGCGUGCGGUGUGGUGAAUAAUAUAAGCACUAACACCAUGAUUGCAGGUUAUGAGCUAUCCACAAUAUACACAUCAACAAUGCACAUGAAUAAUAUAAAACUCACCUGAUACUUACCUGUGCGUCCACAGCACCAAUUCACAUAUAUGUAUGCAUCAUAUAUCAAUUCAUGCUUUUCAUAUACUUCUAUGCAUGGCAUUUCAAAUCAUGCUUUUCAUUUAAAUUCAAUUUCUGGGAAAACUCAAUAGUAUAUAGGUAAUACGAAAACAAAACUGCCCACUCACCUGGAGUUCGCCCUACAACUCCCUAGCACAACUCAUCAAGGCGUCAUGACGAUCGCCGCCUAGAACAAUAAUCAAAUCCAACCUCAAAAAUCAUAUCGAUAGAAUAUAACUUAUAUAAAAUACGUCACUACGUAGAUUGAUCCGAAAGAUCUGCAACUCAGAUUUUAAAUCCAUAACUUCCAGAGUCCACAAUAUAUCUCUAGGACAACAUCCUGAAAUUUCAUUACCAUCCAACGGUCGGAUCUCCGUCAAUUUCCAAAACUAAGUGACGGUUAACAUUUUAUUUUAUGAACUUACAACUCCAAUUCCGGAAGAUCCGUAACUCGGAUUCCCAAUCCGUAAGUUCCAAUAAUCCUCAAAUAUUACGUAUUACAACGUAUCAAAGUUUGGUGACGAUCCAACGGUCGGAUCGUCAAUUCACAUUUUCACCUAAAUGCGAAAACUAUAAAACGUUAUUUAAAGCACCUAACCAAUAAUUGUAAUAACUUUCUCAUACGGUGCUCAAUUUGGGUAUAUGAAUAUACCACAUUGACCUACUCGACGUCACGGACGUCGACAAAUUUUUAAAAUAAUUUUUUUACUGUGGCACGCGCCCCCACGCGCCAAGGAAGGCACGGGUCCACGCGCGCCCACGCGCACCUUCUUCCUCGCGAGUUCGCCGGACUGGUUUUUCUCCGGUGGCCGGAUUCUGGGCAUUUUUCAAAUGCCUUGUUCUCCUUCGUUUCUCAACCAUUUUCUUCGUAUAAUAUAUCAAUUUAAAGCCCUCAACAUGUAGAAUCACAAUAUACUACUUUUAAGCUUCAAAAACAACUAAAUCUCACCGGAAAAAUCCAAGCAAAACCGGCCAAACUUAACCCUCGUGAUCCCGACGUCCAAAUCCUUCCAACGAAGCACUCCAAGCUUCCUUGGGACCUCACUAAGCUCACUAUGAGCUUGGAUUGUCCU
RNAcentral lists this long non-coding RNA (1815 nucleotides) under Malus domestica (apple). RNAcentral's name for it is "long non-coding RNA (MDOM_LNC001906)". Lineage: Eukaryota; Viridiplantae; Streptophyta; Magnoliopsida; Rosales; Rosaceae. The record is from RNAcentral.